CGGCCUGAGAGGGCGACCGGCCACAUUGGGACUGACAUACGGCCCAGACUCCUACGGGAGGCAGCAGUGGGGAAUAUUGCACAAUGGGCGCAAGCCUGAUGCAGCGACGCCGCGUGAGGGAUGGAGGCCUUCGGGUUGUAAACCUCUUUUGUUUGGGAGCAAGCCUUCGGGUGAGUGUACCUUUCGAAUAAGCGCCGGCUAACUACGUGCCAGCAGCCGCGGUAAUACGUAGGGCGCAAGAGUCCAUCGCUUAACGGUGGAUCUGCGCCGGGUACGGGCGGGCUGGAGUGCGGUAGGGGAGACUGGAAUUCCCGGUGUAACGGUGGAA
RNAcentral lists this ribosomal RNA (328 nucleotides) under uncultured Bifidobacterium sp. Its description in RNAcentral is "bacterial SSU rRNA". It matches the Rfam family "Bacterial small subunit ribosomal RNA", at positions 288 to 686 of the family's 1533-position model. The record is from RNAcentral. Lineage: Bacteria; Bacillati; Actinomycetota; Actinomycetes; Bifidobacteriales; Bifidobacteriaceae.